RNAcentral lists this long non-coding RNA (1163 nucleotides) under Felis catus (domestic cat). RNAcentral's name for it is "lncRNA (ENSFCAG00000049927.1)". Lineage: Eukaryota; Metazoa; Chordata; Mammalia; Carnivora; Felidae. The record is from RNAcentral.
ACUAUGGAAUACUACAUAGCCAUUAAAAAUAAUAAGAAAAGUAGAUAAUUUUAGAUAGAUCUAGAUAUAAAUAAGAAUAACAUGAAGUGAAAAAGUCCAUUUGCAGAACAGUAUGUGUAGUCUAAUUUUGAUUAUGAAAAGUGCAUACACAAAUAAAAGUGAAUAUGUAAAGAAACUUAAAGACACAUCUAUAUUUAAUGCAAUUAACUCUGAUGGAUAGCUGUUGAAGGCAUAGCAAGAACAUUCUUUCAUAUUCUUAUUCGUAUUGAUAUGGAGUGUGUUGAUUUUUGGCCAUAAACAUAUAUAUCUUUCAUUUAAACUUUUAUAAAGUGACCCCCUGAGUGAUUGAAAAUAUUAUUGACUCUAGAAAAUAUUAUUGACUUUUAUAUUGAUAAAUAAAAAUAUCUGCAUGGAUAAAAAGGUGGGCUUAGUGGCUUUUUAGGUGCUAAGUUUUCUUUCUGCUUUUCAUAUUUUAUUUGCCAGAUAUUCUAUAGUGAGUACUAUUGCUCCACCCAAAAUGUGUUGAAAACAAAAUCCCAAAGAUUGAGAUCCAGGGGUCAGCAUUUUAUGAAGCUCUUGGGAUAAGUCUGGCAGUUAGUUGGGUUUGAGAGUAACUGACAAAGGCUUCACAUCUCUAAAGGAUUUAAAGACAACAAGAAGCUUAGAAUUUGAAUAUGCCUAGAAAGAGUGAUUUCACUUAAAUUUUGCUUGAAGAUAAAUUCUAGAGAAGUUAAUUGUUUCCUUCCUAUUCAUGAAUACUGAUUCAGCACUCCUUUUUGGCUUCCAGAUUCUCAAUCUACUGUGGUGAUGCUAUUACUUUGAAUCCUCGUAAAAGGAGAAGACCGAGACCUGGCUCAUGAAGUGGUAUUGAUUUUCUGAGUUCCUGCUCGAGUUGCCAAAGAUACAACACUGUUGUUAAGGAGAGGAGAUGCCUUGGCCUUCAAUAUCACAGGAGGGUUCCUCGGACUUACCAAUUUGGGCUUCUUCCAGCGCUAAAAACCGAUUACAAAUAUGAAACAGAUUUUACUACUGGACUUGAAUACCAUAUUAAAAACAAGAAGAUCGUCAAAAUAAUUGAAAAAGAUCCUUACCAAAGAAUAGAUGCAAUGUGAAUGGCAAGAUAUCGAGGAGGUUUUGGUAUUUGGUCUGACACAUAACAGACC